Molecule: transfer RNA, 61 nt
Filed under: Haemaphysalis punctata
Lineage: Eukaryota; Metazoa; Arthropoda; Arachnida; Ixodida; Ixodidae
Description: tRNA-His
Source: RNAcentral
GCUUAAUUAGUUUAAAUUAAAAAUAAUAAAUUGUGGAUUUAUAGAUAUAUUAUAUUAAGCA